CCACUGUGACGUCACAGAAGAAGCAACCUAUAACGAUGGUGUAAAAUUCCAGAGCUUCAGCUAUUUACUAUUUUUGAGCUGUGUGAUGGAUACACAGACUAACUUUGUCGAAGAAAUUGUUAGUGAAUCGGUGGAAAAUCUACCACUGCGCCCCACGCGGCAUGCGGCAGGAACUGCAGGGGCCGGAGCUGGUGUUUCCACACGUGAUGAUGGAGAGAGACCCGAAAACACCCCGCACACAUCUCUCACCCAAGUGCCAUCUGAAGUUGAGCCUAAUAUGGAGGAGGCCAAACUGAAGGAGAAGGAGGACGGAGAGGAGAAGGAGGAGGUCAAACUGAAGGAGAAGGAGGAUGGAGAGGAGAAGGAGGAGGUCAAACUGAAGGAGAAGGAGGACGGAGAGGAGAAGGAGGAGGUCAAACUGAAGGAGAAGGAGGACGGAGAGGAGAAGGAGGAGGUCAAACUGAAGGAGAAGGAGGAUGGAGAGGAGAAGGAGGAGGUCAAACUGAAGGAGA
This is a long non-coding RNA of Ictalurus punctatus (channel catfish), 512 nucleotides long. The record is from Ensembl. NCBI's taxonomy places the organism in Eukaryota, Metazoa, Chordata, Actinopteri, Siluriformes, Ictaluridae.